CCUACGGGUGGCAGCAGUGGGGAAUAUUGGACAAUGGGGGGAACCCUGAUCCAGCCAUGCCGCGUGUGUGAAGAAGGCCCUCGGGUUGUAAAGCACUUUCAGUGAGGAAGAACGCCUGGUGGUUAAUACCCAUCAGGAAAGACAUCACUCACAGAAGAAGCACCGGCUAACUCCGUGCCAGCAGCCGCGGUAAUACGGAGGGUGCGAGCGUUAAUCGGAAUUACUGGGCGUAAAGCGCGCGUAGGUGGCUUGAUAAGCCGGUUGUGAAAGCCCCGGGCUCAACCUGGGAACGGCAUCCGGAACUGUCAAGCUAGAGUGCAGGAGAGGAAGGUAGAAUUCCCGGUGUAGCGGUGAAAUGCGUAGAGAUCGGGAGGAAUACCAGUGGCGAAGGCGGCCUUCUGGACUGACACUGACACUGAGGUGCGAAAGCGUGGGUAGCAAACAGGAUUAGAUACCGAGUAGUC
RNAcentral lists this ribosomal RNA (464 nucleotides) under Vreelandella stevensii. RNAcentral describes it as "partial 16S ribosomal RNA". It matches the Rfam family "Bacterial small subunit ribosomal RNA", at positions 338 to 795 of the family's 1533-position model. The record is from RNAcentral. Lineage: Bacteria; Pseudomonadati; Pseudomonadota; Gammaproteobacteria; Oceanospirillales; Halomonadaceae.